AUGCACACAAACAUUACAAACACACACUCAUUAUUGCCGUUGCCUCUUCCGUUCUCCGAGUGGAAAAACUUCAUCAGGCUUCUAAAAAAAAGGGGCAAUCUGGGAUUGUUGCAUUUUCAUUAUUUAAAGAAAUUAUUAUUGGCAUAUAUGUGGCUAUAUACAGGGGGUACCGGUACAGAGUCAAUGUGGAGGCUAUAUACAGGGGGUACCGGUACAGAGUCAAUGUGGAGGCUAUAUACAGGGGGUACCGGUACAGAGUCAAUGUGGAGGCUAUAUACAGGGGGUACCGGUACAGAGUCAAUGUGGAGGCUAUAUACAGGGUGUACCGGUACAGAGUCAAUGUGGAGGCUAUAUACAGGGGGUACCAGUACAGAGUCAAUGUGGAGGCUAUAUACAGGGGGUACCGGUACAGAGUCAAUGUGGAGGCUAUAUACAGGGGGUACCGGUACAGAGUCAAUGUGGAGGCUAUAUACAGGGGGUACCGGUACAGAGUCAAUGUGGAGGCUAUAUACAGGGGGUACCGGUACAGAGUCAAUGUGGAGGCUAUAUACAGGGGGUACCGGUACAGAGUCAAUGUGGAGGCUAUAUACAGGGGGUACCGGUACAGAGUCAAUGUGGAGGCUAUAUACAGGGUGUACCGGUACAGAGUCAAUGUGGAGGCUAUAUACAGGGGGUACCGGUACAGAGUCAAUGUGGAGGCUAUAUACAGGGGGUACCGUUACAGAGUCAAUGUGGAGGCUAUAUACAGGGGGUACCGGUACAGAGUCAAUGUGGAGGCUAUAUACAGGGGGUACCGGUACAGAGUCAAUGUGGAGGCUAUAUACAGGGGGUACCGGUACAGAGUCAAUGUGGAGGCUAUAUACAGGGGGUUAUGGUACAGAGUCAAUGUGGAGGCUAUAUACAGGGGGUACCGGUAGAGAGUCAAUGUGGAGGCUAUAUACAGGGGGUACCGGUACAGAGUCAAUGUGGAGGCUAUAUACAGGGGGUACCGGUACAGAGUCAAUGUGGAGGCUAUAUACAGGGGGUACCGGUACAGAGUCAAUGUGGAGGCUAUAUACAGGGGGUACCGGUACAGAGUCAAUGUGGAGGCUAUAUACAGGGGGUACUGGUACAGAGUCAAUGUGGAGGCUAUAUACAGGGGGUACCGGUACAGAGUCAAUGUGGAGGCUAUAUACAGGGGGUACCGGUAGAGAGUCAAUGUGGAGGCUAUAUACAGGGGGUACCGGUAGAGAGUCAAUGUGGAGGCUAUAUACAGGGUAUUACGGUAGAGAGUCAGUGUGGAGGCUAUAUACAGGGGGUACCGGUAGAGAGUCAAUGUGGAGGCUAUAUACAGGGUAUUACGGUACAGAGUCAAUGUGGAGGCUAUAUACAGGGGGUACCGGUAGAGAGUCAAUGUGGAGGAUAUAUACAGGGUAUUACGGUAGAGAGUCAGUGUGGAGGCUAUAUACAGGGGGUACCGGUAGAGAGUCAAUGUGGAGGCUAUAUACAGGGGGUACCGGUACAGAGUCAAUGUGGAGGCUAUAUACAGGGGGUACCGGUACAGAGUCAAUGUGGAGGCUAUAUACAGGGGGUACCGGUACAGAGUCAAUGUGGAGGCUAUAUACAGGGGGUACCGGUACAGAGUCAAUGUGGAGGCUAUAUACAGGGGGUACCGGUACAGAGUCAAUGUGGAGGCUAUAUACAGGGGGUACCGGUACAGAGUCAAUGUGGAGGCUAUAUACAGGGGGGUACCGGUACAGAGUCAAUGUGGAGGCUAUAUACAGGGGGUACCGGUACAGAGUCAAUGUGGAGGCUAUAUACAGGGGGGUACCGGUACAGAGUCAAUGUGGAGGCUAUAUACAGGGUGUACCGGUACAGAGUCAAUGUGGAGGCUAUAUACAGGGGGUACCGGUACAGAGUCAAUGUGGAGGCUAUAUACAGGGGGUACCGGUACAGAGUCAAUGUGGAGGCUAUAUACAGGGGGUAACGAUACAGAGUCAAUGUGGAGGCUAUAUACAGGGGGUAACGAUACAGAGUCAAUGUGGAGGCUAUAUACAGGGGGUAACGAUACAGAGUCAAUGUGGAGGCUAUAUACAGGGGGUACCGGUACAGAGUCAAUGUGGAGGCUAUAUACAGGGGGUACCGGUACAGAGUCAAUGUGGAGGCUAUAUACAGGGGGUACCGGUACAGAGUCAAUGUGGAGGCUAUAUACAGGGGGUACCGGUACAGAGUCAAUGUGGAGGCUAUAUACAGGGGGGUACCGGUACAGAGUCAAUGUGGAGGCUAUAUACAGGGGGUACCGGUACAGAGUCAAUGUGGAGGCUGUAUACAGGGGUUACCGGUACAGAGUCAAUGUGGAGGCUAUAUACUGGGGGUACCGGUACAGAGUCAAUGUGGAGGCUAUAUACAGGGGGCACCGGUACCAAGUCAGUGUGGAGGCUAUAUACAGGGGGCACCGGUACCAAGUCAGUGUGCAGCAGGGGUACAGGCUAG
Molecule: long non-coding RNA, 2472 nt
Filed under: Oncorhynchus kisutch (coho salmon)
Lineage: Eukaryota; Metazoa; Chordata; Actinopteri; Salmoniformes; Salmonidae
Description: lncRNA (ENSOKIG00005000796.1)
Source: RNAcentral